This is a long non-coding RNA of Perca flavescens (yellow perch), 268 nucleotides long. RefSeq lists it as uncharacterized. The record is from RefSeq and is a predicted model, not a curated record. Lineage: Eukaryota; Metazoa; Chordata; Actinopteri; Perciformes; Percidae. The transcript is spliced from 4 exons.
CACUGAGCGCACUGUAAUUGUGUGGAUUCUCCUGAUUCUCCAGGUUGAUAGCCAGGCACAAGUUCCCGUCCUUCACGGAGUGAACUGGGGCAGAUUGACGCUUGAUCCUGUACAAGGCUGGGUCUGUGUCGACACACUGCCUCCUCGUGGUGAGACUGCACUGGGUGACACUCUGUUACGGAGUGGUGUGCGCGUUCCGACCCGACCUUCCUACUUUGAGGAGACUAAGACCACAUGUAUCUGCCAUCUAAUUUGUUUUAUUAUUCUG